This 253-nucleotide ribosomal RNA is filed under the name uncultured bacterium. RNAcentral describes it as "partial 16S ribosomal RNA". It matches the Rfam family "Bacterial small subunit ribosomal RNA", at positions 524 to 776 of the family's 1533-position model. The record is from RNAcentral.
UACGAAGGGUGCAAGCGUUACUCGGAAUUACUGGGCGUAAAGGGUGCGUAGGUGGUUUGUUAAGUCUGCUGUGAAAUCCCCGGGCUCAACCUGGGAAUGGCAGUGGAUACUGGCAAGCUAGAGUGCGGUAGAGGGUAGUGGAAUUCCCGGUGUAGCAGUGAAAUGCGUAGAGAUCGGGAGGAACACCAGUGGCGAAGGCGACUACCUGGACCAGCACUGACACUGAAGCACGAAAGCGUGGGGAGCAAACAGG